Molecule: ribosomal RNA, 1818 nt
Filed under: Triticum aestivum (bread wheat)
Lineage: Eukaryota; Viridiplantae; Streptophyta; Magnoliopsida; Poales; Poaceae
Description: partial small subunit ribosomal RNA
Source: RNAcentral
AUGGUGAGUAAGCGUACGAUCCAUCACACAAACGUCACCCUUGAAACGAUUGUCGAAAAUGCAGUGGAUUAUCUCAAGUAUUUGAAACAUGACGUCGAGCUUUUAGGUCAUAUCAUGGUCAGGGCGCAACAGAUCUUUUUUGAGUACUACAAAGUUGACAUAGUUGAUAAAACUACCAUUGCGGCUAUGGCCUUUACCAUAUGGCGAAUGAGGUAUCAUGACGAUAAGAGAUGGAAGUUGUACAUUCCAACUAAGGAAGAAGACGCAUUCAUUAGGUGGGCAUACUAUGGUGGGCAUGUAGAUGUGUACAAGCCUUACGGGGAGAAUUUGUAUUAUUACGAUGCCAAUUCGUUAUAUCCGUAUAUAAUGAAAACAUGUAAAAUGCCCGGCGGGAAGGGGGUGUGGCAUGACAAUUUCUGUAACAAGAAAUUGGACGAUUUGUUUGGCUUUAUACAAGCGUUGGUGUAUAUACCUAAGCAUGUAAAGCGUCCUUUUCUCCCAUUUAGAGACCUUGAUGGGAAGGCUCUGAAAUUCGGAGUUGGGUACGUGUAUGGGUGUUACUUUAGUGAAGAAUUAAAGCAUGCUAUCAAAUUAGGGUAUGAUGUUACGCCGUGCUAUGGGUACUUGUUUGAGCCUAUUGAUGGUCCAUUUGCGGAAUUCAUAGAUGAUAUGUAUUCAAGGAGAUUAGAUGCUAGAGAUAAACAAUUAGGAGCCAAAAGCUAUAUACACAAGUUGAGCAUGAACAGUGUGUACGGUCGUUUGGGUAUAAAGACCGAAAGCACUAAGGCUGUCCUUUGCUCUAAGGUUACAAGUCAAGUGUUUAUGCAUAAGAAAAAGGGUAAAGUGAUCGAUGUACUCGAACUGGGAGAGUAUAAUUUAAUCACUUAUAAAGAGGACGUAUACGAUGAGAGCAAUGGAUGGAAACCGCCGGUGAACACGUGUCCUCAGAUAUUAGCAUGCAUUACGAGUUAUGUCCGUAUAUAUAUGGACCAAUUUGUGUCACGGGAUGACUGCCUCUAUACGGACACAGACUCUGUAGUUUUAGAGAAUCCUCUUCCCGAAUCUAUGAUAUCAGAUAGAGAGCUUGGUAAGUUUAAGCUAGAACACGGCCUUAUUAGGCGUGCGAUUUUUACUGCUCCUAAAAGCUACUUCUUGGAGGUCAAAGGGGGUAAAGAUGUCAAAAAGUAUAAGGGUGCACCGUCUGGUGUGGUUGAAAAAAGUCACUUCGUGAACUUGUUAAAUAAUGUUCACUCUAAAUGGGUGAUCAAUUAUGAAAAGAACUUUUCAGUGGAUUGGAAAAAUCUAGUCAUACGGAAACGUAUGAGCCAAAUAACAAUGAGAUUGGGAGGGGCUAAAAGGGUACUCAUCUUUAAAAAGGGUGUGUGGGUCGACACAAAGCCAUACGUAUUUACGAGUGAAGACUUGUUAAAAAUGUUGAAAGAUCAGCCUACUAGCAGUCUAAUAUUACAGCUGUGGGAAGAUAAUAAAAGGCUGAAGGAUGCGGCUGAACUAAGCAGGGUAAUCCGAGAAGGAUUGAAUAAGGGUAAGACUUGCGAGGAUGAUCAUGUUGAUGAGAGUGAUUCUAUAGAAGUGAAAGAUCUGGGGGAAAAGAAGGGAACUAAUAAGAAAGGAACUAAUAAGAAAGGAACUAAUAAGAAAGGAAGUGAUAAGAAGAAUGGAAGUGAUAAGAAGAAAGGAGGUAAUAAUGAUUUGGAAGUGACAGAUCUGGGGGAAAUGAAAGGAGCUAAUAAGAAAGGGAGUGAUAAGAAGAAAGGAGGUAAUAACGAUGUGCAAUCUUCUAAUAAGAAAGGAGGUUGA